Molecule: ribosomal RNA, 566 nt
Filed under: uncultured archaeon
Lineage: Archaea
Description: bacterial SSU rRNA
Rfam family: Archaeal small subunit ribosomal RNA
Source: RNAcentral
CGGGGUGCAGCAGGCGCGAAAACUCCACAAUGUACGAAAGUACGAUGGGGUUACCUCGAGUGCAGUCCGAUAAGGGCUGCUUUUCCAUAGAGUAAUAUCCUGUGGGAAUAAGAGGGGGGCAAGACUGGUGUCAGCCGCCGCGGUAACACCAGCCCCUCGAGUGGUGGGGAUUAUUAUUUGGCCUAAAGCGUCCGUAGCUGGCUGUGUCAGUCCCCCGUUAAAUCCAGCGUCCUAAGCGUUGGACUGCGGGUGAUACCACACAGCUAGAGGGUGGGAUAGGUGAGCGGUAUUUCUGGGGUAGGGGCGAAAUCCUUUGAUCCCAGGAGGACCACCAGUGGCGAAGGCUGCUCACUAGAACACGCCUGACGGUCAGGGACGAAAGCUGGGGCAGCGAACCGGAUUAGAUACCCGGGUAGUCCCAGCUGUUAACGAUGCUAGCUAGGUGUUGGGUCGGCCACGUGCCGCCCCAGUGCCGCAGUGAAUCCGUGCCACUCGCAGCUUGGGGAUUACGGCCGCAAGCAUGAAAAAGAAAGGACAUCGGCGGGGACCACAAGGGCAAUUCGGGC